CGAUCACACAGGAGUAGUAUCACUGUUGUCACAUCACGUAUCAAAGCAAGUAAGCAUUUACAUCAAACAUGCGAACAUUGUUGAUCUUCGCUUUAUUUUUCAUUCUGGUAAUCACUGUACAAGGCCAAGAAGACCAACCCGCUAACGCGAACGAAAUGUUGGAGCACGAUAUAGACGAUUUGAUAUUGGAAUUAGAGAGACAUGAUGAUGCAGAUGCUGAAGGAAGAUUAGGAAGAUGGGCAAGAUAAUGCUACGUACAAUGCCAGGACCCCUAUAUUUCCUGCUCAAACACAGCGCUCAUGAACCAUAGUAGUGGAUAUCAGCAUAUUAGGUGUUCAUGUAUAGAAAUGUGCAUGUUCACGUGAUUAACUGAAUAAAUAAAAUGCUUCCAAUCAA
This is a long non-coding RNA of Saccoglossus kowalevskii, 396 nucleotides long. RefSeq lists it as uncharacterized. Lineage: Eukaryota; Metazoa; Hemichordata; Enteropneusta; Harrimaniidae. The record is from RefSeq and is a predicted model, not a curated record.